UGGUUGAGUAGAGUGGUGAUUGUACAUGGU
Molecule: non-coding RNA, 30 nt
Filed under: Mus musculus (house mouse)
Lineage: Eukaryota; Metazoa; Chordata; Mammalia; Rodentia; Muridae
Source: RNAcentral